ACGGAGGGUGCAAGCGUUAAUCGGAAUCACUGGGCGUAAAGCGCACGUAGGCGGUCUUGUAAGUCAGGCGUGAAAGCCCUCGGCUCAACCGGGGAAUUGCGCUUGAUACUGCUCGACUUGAGUAUCGGAGAGGGUGGCGGAAUUCCAGGUGUAGGAGUGAAAGCCGUAGAUGUCUGGGGGAGUAACGGCGGCGAAGGCAGACACCUGGAAGAGUACUGACUGUAAGGUGGGUUUUCGUGUUGAGCAGAGAG
Molecule: ribosomal RNA, 251 nt
Filed under: uncultured prokaryote
Description: partial 16S rRNA
Rfam family: Bacterial small subunit ribosomal RNA
Source: RNAcentral